CUCUGACUCAAAUAACAAACGCUAGGACCGGGAAGGAGUGAUUUCUGAGGUCUGCAUCAGCCACUCACAGGCCCCCACUACAACACCAAGGAUCCAGGACCACCAUAAAUAGUUAACCGCUGCUGGUCCACCAGGAAUUAUGGCUGCAUGUGAUGUGUGUGGAUAGGAAUACACAUACAUCACAUGCAGCCAGCACAGCACACACACAUUGAGCACUCACUGCUCAGCACACAAUGACACAAAAUCAGCACAAAUCACACACACACUAUGACAAAUCAAGAGACCAUGGGAGGACAUAGGGUAAGACACUCAAG
Pelobates cultripes (western spadefoot toad) is the source of this 314-nucleotide non-coding RNA. The record is from the annotation of a GenBank genome assembly. NCBI's taxonomy places the organism in Eukaryota, Metazoa, Chordata, Amphibia, Anura, Pelobatidae.